RNAcentral lists this ribosomal RNA (254 nucleotides) under uncultured bacterium. RNAcentral describes it as "partial 16S ribosomal RNA". It matches the Rfam family "Bacterial small subunit ribosomal RNA", at positions 524 to 776 of the family's 1533-position model. The record is from RNAcentral.
UACGUAGGGGGCGAGCGUUGUCCGGAUUUAUUGGGCGUCAAGAGCUCGUUGGCGGUUUGGUAAGUCGGGUGUGAAAUCUCCACGCUCAACGUGGAGGGGCCACUCGAUACUGCCAUGACUCGAGUCCGGUAGAGGAGUGUGGAAUUCCCGGUGUAGCGGUGAAAUGCGCAGAUAUCAGGAGGAACACCGAUGGCGAAGGCAGCUCGCUGGGACGGUACUGACGCUGAGACGCGAAAGCGUGGGGAGCGAACAGG